RNAcentral lists this small RNA (136 nucleotides) under Syntrophomonas zehnderi. RNAcentral describes it as "c-di-AMP sequence". It matches the Rfam family "c-di-AMP riboswitch aptamer (ydaO/yuaA leader)". Rfam says of the family: This family represents a conserved RNA structure found upstream of the ydaO and yuaA genes in Bacillus subtilis and related genes in other bacteria. RNAcentral also lists the same sequence under 1 other name. The record is from RNAcentral. Lineage: Bacteria; Bacillati; Bacillota; Clostridia; Eubacteriales; Syntrophomonadaceae.
CUUGUCAUAUCGCUGAGUCUCCGAAUUUAAUCGGAGAGCGGGGGACCCAUUUUUAGGGGUGAAUCUGGAUUUUCCAGUAGGGCUAUCCCUGGCCCGAAUCCGUCAGCUAACCUCGUAAGCGUGUAAGGGAGACCAG